RNAcentral lists this long non-coding RNA (14971 nucleotides) under Fragaria vesca (wild strawberry). Its description in RNAcentral is "long non-coding RNA (FVES_LNC003445)". Lineage: Eukaryota; Viridiplantae; Streptophyta; Magnoliopsida; Rosales; Rosaceae. The record is from RNAcentral.
AGAGAGAGAGAGAGGAAACUGAGAAAAGAAAAAAAUUACUGAAUAAAACACAUGUCUCCAAUGUAGGCCACACAAGGUGUAAGACCAGCCCAAAUCUGCGUGCGCCCAAACGAUCCCAACACUUUUACUUUUAUAGUACUUCAAAAAAUGUUUACACAUAGAUUUUUGCUGUCAUUAACCAUUUUACUUUAUUACAAUGUAUGUUCCAAUGUUUUUUUUUUCCGUAUGAAAAUGAUAUUCUUAGACAAAAGGUGAUUUCAAAUUAUUAUUAUUUUUUGGGUAAGUGGGAUUAGUACUAUCUCAUCGUCUAAACUCAAAAAUUUAUUAAUAAAAAAAUAAUAAUACAAAUAUAUCAUCAAUGACAUUGAUUUCAGUGUCAUUAUUAAACAAACCUAGACUCCAAGCCGGAUCCAUCUAAUUUCUAUAAGUGAAGUUUCAGGUUCUUACAAUUAGUAAUUCUGAAAUUGCUUCCUCCAAAUAUUAUGUAUACGAGAGGCAAUUAUCUAUUUUCUAACAAUAGGUCUUGUAAACUCAACCACAGGGUCCGCCCUUUCUUUGUUCUCUAGAGCACUAUAAAUCUCAUUCCUUUUCCAUCCCAUCUUCAUCAACGUAUACAUCUCCCACAUUCCUUCCAAAACAAAGUUACAACACACACAAACACAAAGAUGGCACGCCGCGAGAUGAUCGUUCUUGCUCUCCUCUUCAUUGCUAUUGCUGGGGUUGCAGCUGAGAAAGCAGCAGGCAAACAUGGAGGGCAUCAUGACAAGGGAUCCCAUGACAAGAAGCAAAAGCACAUGGAACCAAACAUCAAGUUAGCUAAACCCACCAAACCUAUUACCAAAAGACCAGGCCCCGCUGCUACCAAACCAGGCCACACCGCUACCAAAGGACCAGGUGCCACCGCUACCAAACCAAGCACCAAUAGUGGGGUACCCUUAACCAUGGAGGGACCACCUAAGCCUGGCAAGAGAGGACACAAGUAAUCUGUGAAGGUCCUAGAGGGGGGGGGGGGUGAAUAGGCCCUGACAACUUUUUUGCUCUAUCCCGCACACAAGGAUAGCAAGGAUUGUGCUAUCCUGUUUGCUGUGAGAGACUAAGUUGUGUAAAUAAAAAGCCAAGUACUGAAAGUAAAAGAUAUAACACCAGUACGUUUUUUAUACGCAGAAACCCUGCAACCAGGGAGAAAAACUGCGUGCCUCUAACUCUUGAGAGACAAACUAUUCCACUAUUGUAAAGACACUUAUUACAAGACUCACAACUCAGAGGAUAGCACAACACCUAGCUAUCCUGCCUAGUCUAACUACUAGCACUCAACUGAACUUGCUCUCUUGUCACUCGAGUGUUUUACACAUAACACGAAUCUAAGCUUCUAUGCAGAAUUCAACUAACACCUUUAGCUAAUUCUCAAAGACAGCUUCGCCGGGGUUGUUGCAUCACCUAGACAAAUCUCAAGGUAUGCAAAUGCACAAUGAUAUGAGUUGAAAAGGUUUUGGUGCUCAGCUCUAAGAUUGACAAUCACAGGGAAGACUUAGAGAUAUAUAAGCAGUUUAGCAAAUGCUAGACUCAAUGGAAGAAAACAAGCAAGACUAUUUUCAACAACCAAAGAGCAAGAGAGGUCUUGCUCUCUAUUUAUAGGCAAAGUGCACAGCUAUGAGGAAGCAAGCACGUUUGCCACAUCAACAAGAUUCUUUUGGACUCUAGCUGCUUGUCUGGACUACUGGGACGGAUAGGACCCUAGGGAUCCCUCCACUCACAAGACAAAAGCUGAGAAUAGACUUUCCUAGGAAAGACUAAAGCCAAAAGGAUAAGACAAAAGGUUUUGGGAAAACUAGAUCAGAUUUAGUCAAACAUAAAGACUCUACAAAACCACUUUACCUAAGAGGACACUUAAGACAACUGAUAGCUUGGGCGGUGCAUCACAUGGGCAGCUGCCAACUUGGUUUUUGAAUCACAAAACCCAGCUGGUUCCCAAAGGCUCAAGUUAUGUGGUCACGGGUUGGUUUGCCACACCAUCCUAGACUAACUUGGAGCUCAAGUACGAAUAGACUAAUGUUUUGCUAAAAGGUAUUUGAAUUUCAAACACUUAAAAACUAAAGCAAACACUUUUGAAUAUGCACAUGGUCAGACCCAGUAGAUAGAACAGAUACAACAAGGGUAUCCGUUUAAUCGGGAUGGCAAACACGGCUGCCAUCCUUAGUGAAUGAAUGUGAUGCACAUGCAUGAACUACCUGAUGCACAUGAGAUCUGUCAGGUUCUUCAUUCUUCACUUGAGUAGUUCUUGCUACCAGACUACAACAUGUAGAAUGUAUCCUUGUGUUUUGAUCAUAAAGGGAUAGCCAACAAUUCUUGUACCAACAAUCUGGCAGCAGCUCCCUAUUUAUUCAUAACUUGGCUUCUUUUUUUUUUUUUUGUAGAGUAUCAAGAUCUGAGGGAGUAAUAGCUAGGCUUUGAACUAUGCAAAUGUAGUGCAUGUGUUUGUGUGUGUACUCAAAAAUAAAAAAGGAUAUAAAUAAUGUGGUCCAUGAUAUGCAAGCAAAUUGUUUCAAAUAUUUCAUGUAAGUGAAUGAUUGACACACACAUAUUGUAUGUGUAUUGAUAUUUACGAGGAAGAUUGAGACUAAUAUCCUCUAAAUUCGAUAAACAACAACAAAAUGAAAGGUCAUUGUUUUGUUUUUUAUAAUAGUUUUCUUCUAACACAUCCGAUCAUUAUCGAAAAAUCCCGCACGACCCAAUGUUAUAAAUGACUAAGACGUAGCUGAAGAGAGCCUUACUAAAGUGUGGUAGCCUUGAGGCAAGGCGUAAACUUUACAGAAAAAAAUACAUAUAUUAAUUUCUCUUGGUUUUAGUUGAACUAGAACUCAUAGUUGCCUUCAAAUCCCUACUCCAUUUACCCAUUAAUACUUUGCAUAUCAUUUACAAGUACUAGUAAUUGCGCCUUCACAUACAAUGUUAUAAUCAUCUAUAUUAUCAUGGUUGAGUCGGCGUUUUAUAAUCACCAACACUGAUAGUACUUUUGGCAUUUAAUAUAGAUAUCAUAUAUUAUGCUAAUGGAAACAAGAAAUACUUCCCCAAUAACGUAUUCACAGAUUAACAAGCUUAAGAAAUUCUAAGGAUAUGCCAGCUGUAUACGGCAGAAUGUAACCGAUACGGCAGUACUUAACCAACUAAAUCAGCUGCAAGAACUGAGCGCAGGAGCUCUGAUCGUGAUGGCAGUGUCCUAUGAAUUCAAGAGGAAGGAAAGGGAGUGUGGAGAAACCAACCGACUUUCAUUUUGCUGUUAUAUUCCUUCAAGCAUUUUGGAAGAAACAUAAGAUGGUAAUCAUGGCACCAAACAACAUCACCCUCUUCAUAGUGCGCAUUAACCACAUCUGCAAACAUUUGAUUUGCCUUCUUAUAUGCAGAAAACUGCGACUGGAAACUCCGAGUGGUGGCAAGUCGGAUCUUCUUGUGGAAGCCCAAGGUAAUGGAAAAGGGGCCAUAAAAUAUUCUUGCAAUAGCCAUUGUAAUAUUUGCGCUAGUCUUUUUUUUUUGGUAAGCAUAGAGGGACUAACUCAUCGUCCCCCCAUGAAAAUUUAUUGAUAAAAAAAAUAUACAAGAAGCUGGAAGACUAGGCCAAUACCAGUCAUAAAGAACAAAUAACCUCUUUUGUAAAUAAACAAAUAAUCACAUAAAAAACAUCAAUGAACACAUGACAAAGACAUUAACAAAUACGAAAAUUCAGGAGACCAAGUGCAUCUUGCCGGCAAUGAUCAACGAUGGAAGGAGGAGGAACAUCCCACCAUGACAUGCCAGUCAAUGACAACCCAAUAUUAGCAAACGCAUCCGCCACUUGAUUACCUUCUCUGAAAAUGUGAGAGGACCGAAAAUGCAUCUAUGAGAUAUGGUGCAAGAAAUUACUCCAGGCCACUCGUAACCGCCAAGGAACAAGAUGAGGAUCCUAAAGAUAUUGAAGGACAAGAGUCGAAUCCACCUCAAGCCAUAUAUGUUUCCAUUCUCUAACCCAAGCUAACUCAAUAGCUUGGAUUACUACCAUGACCUCAGCCUCAACAGAGCUAGGAAUUGGUGCUAGUCUGAUACUGGUACAUACAAAUUUGAUAGUCGGGAAAUUUUAAGAUACUUACGUACAUACAAUCGAUCAUCCCAUAUUGCUAUUAAGACACAACAGAGUAACAGAAAGGCUUGAUAAUUAAGAUGUAGAUGACAUCAAGUGAUCCAUUACUACUACAAUGUUAGACUAAACUAAAUUAAAGAAGAUCCCUCAGUGCUUCAUGUGUAAAGAUGCCUCACUUGUAUCUUUUGUGAGCUAAUUACCAAAGAGAAUCACUUAGUAUCAAGGGAAGUCCAUAUUGAAGGAAACAAAAUGAGAAACAGAAAGAAAGUAGGAAAUGGGAGCUCAAUUACCAGAGAGAUGAAGCGGCAGACGAGAUGGGAUGACAUUUUUUUUUUUUUAAGGGUUUGGAACCCAGCCUAGCUGGGAGGCUUAGCCCCAUGCCUGGAUUUUAUUUAAAUAAAUCAAAAAAAUUACAAAUAGUACUAGAAAGUAAAAAAACCUAAACGAAAAAAUAAAAGAAGAAUAGGGAAACCCAUCUCUUUGGAACAAAACCAAAACAUAAGAAAAGUAGUCAUUCUAAUCAACAAUAAGACGAGAUGGGAUGACAUGAUCAAUUUUGAUGUUUGGGAUGUGAGAGAUCUUGUGCCACUCCAUGCCUUCUCUGAGAAUCCUGCUUCUAUUGAUGCUCAAAUUCUGGAGCGGGGUCUUCCAAAGGAAGUCUGGCAGUGUCUUCAGCUUGUAACAGUUUUCAAUCUCUAAUGUAGAAAGGUCUGGCAUUACCUUAAUACUUGCAAGAGAAUCUUCACUCAACCCAGCUGGCAUUCCUUCCCACUCCUCCCACUCUUCCAGGCCGACGAACACCAAUUUCUUCAGCUUUGGGAACAAAGUGACUUCAAGUGAUGAUGAUGAAGAUGAGGAUGAUUCGAGGGCAUGUCCUACCUUUUUCAAUUUCCGCAUCUUGCGAAAUCGCAGUAUUUCAAGGGACACCAAUUUCCCCAAAACUAGAAGAGGAAGAAAUUCACACCCAUAGCAUGCAUGGAAAGCAAGGUGUUUCAAAUUAUGUAAUGACACGUUCAACCAUCUGGGGCACAAUGUGGUGCCACUGUACCAUGCGAUCUUUAAAGCUUCCAGAUUUGGAUUUGGCUGCAACGCGUUCAGUAUUUCUUCCUGGAUGAUACUGUCUCUUUCCGCAUCCCAUAAGCUUAGUGUCAAAGAAACAAGGUGUUUCUUGUUCACCAAGUUUACUUGCUCCGCAUAUUUCUUGGCGGCAUCAUUCACUGGCUUCCACCAGCAUACUUCAAGCUUCCCCUGAAGCUGAUCCAUGUUUCUCAGGUCACUUGCCUUGGAGCCAUCGUGAAAUAUAUUAACUUGAUCCAGAGUCUGUAGACUCGUCAGCUUGGCAAUUGAUUUCGGCAACUUCAGAGCAUUACUAUUCUUAACACGGAGAUGCCGCAAGUUGGUCAGCUUUCCCAUGCCCUCGGGUAACUCUUCGAGACCUCGGCACUUUUCAAGUCUCAAGGUUUCCAAAUUGAUCAAGUUACACAAAGUGUCGGGUAAUCUCUUCCAAUUGUUGCAAGACAAAUCCAAAUACCUCAAGUGCACCAACCCGCCAACCUUCUCGGGAAGCUCUUCGACACGAUUAUUACUCAAAUUCAAGGUCCUCACGCAUUUUAGUUGCGAAACAAACUCUUGGUUGAGACUAGUAAUUUGACAACUAAAAGUUGCAAGUGUCCUUAAACUUCCGCGACUAUCAAAAGAAACAGAAAAUGGACCAUCGCGUGCAGACGUUAUGGUUAAAUGGCGAAUCUUAUUCCUCACUGGUACCUCUACAUUGGUUUUACCUUGGACAUCCAAGACUGAACAUUCAUUCUUGGUCAAAAACUGAAGGAAGUCGUGCACAAUGUCAUGCAUUUUGCACCUUUUAAUUUUUCCAAAUUUAUCUUUCACAAAAUCUUGAAAGAAAUACCGCGUUACUAAGUUACUGAAAUAUGAUUCUCCAAUGUCUACUGUUGUCUUUUCGGUAUUCCUAAUUGAACCAAAAUAACUUUGUGACAUCCACAACUCAAUCAAAUCAUUUUUGUCAAUUAUAUGGUUUUUUGGGAAAGUACCACAAUAUAAGAGACAACGUUUGAUUAUUGGAUCUAAAUCAUAAUAACUUAGUAACAGCGGUUGAAAAACUUGUUGAGAAACUGGUUGCCCAAACAGUGUAUCCAACUCCCAGAUUUCAUUACUCAAAACAUCUUGCCAUUCUUUCUUUGUUUUCUUAACCCUCAUGAGACCACCUAAGGUCUUGGCAACAAGAGGCAACCCUUUGCACUUCUUUACAAUUUCUCUACCAAUAGGGUCUAAAAUUUUACAUUCAUCUUGAUUUCUAUCGGUAAAGGCAAUUCUAUUGAACAAUAACCAACAAUUUUCGUCACUCAACACCUUCAAAUUGAUUGUGUUAUCAGCUGCUCCCAUCAUCCCAGCCACUUCUUCUUUUCGUGUAGUGACUACUAUUUUACUACCUACAUCACCCUUCUGUAAAACUAUCUUCAACUUUUCCCACUUCCCAUAAUCCUCGUUCCACACAUCGUCUAAGACGAGGAGAAACUUUUCCCCCUCAAUAGACUUGCGCACACACUGGAAGUAAGCUUCUAGGUUACUCGAAAUGGAAUUGACAUUUCCAUCAAGCUGUCCAAUGAUGUCUUUGGCUAUGUUGAGCUCAUCAAAUGGCUCCGAGACACAAACCCAAAUUUGUUUUGUGAAAUUGGCCUUAACCCUAUCAUCAUUAUAGGCUAGUUGGGAAAGUGUUGUUUUCCCAAUUCCACCCAUCCCUACAAUAGGGAUGACAAGAGAGCUCUGCCCUUCAGGAUUGCUCUUACUCAACAACUUAGCCACCAACAAUUCCUUUUCAUCUACCCGACCAAAUGUUUGAUCAACAAAAGAAGUAGUCUUUUGUCGCUCGACAUGCUUAGUACCACUUUUUGUGUACUGAAAGUUAAGAUUCUGGCUCCAAUUAGCAAUUGUUGCUAACCUUUCAUUAAGAUCUUUAAUCUUUUGAGCAAUGUCGUGACGAUAAAUAACUCGACUAACUUUGCCAGAACAAAAGAAAGCAGUAUGAAUGCAUAGACGUACCUUCUUCUUAGUCGUAUCAACAGCAUUUCCACUUUCUUCUUUCUCUUGUUUCUCAAUAUGUAGCCUCAGAAUUCCAGUGUUCCAAUCAUCCAACACAUCCUCCAUCUCGUUGGACACGUCCUUUAAAUCAUCCAGCCACAACUUUACAGAAGCCUCUUUCACUUGCCUCUCCUCUGCAUCUUUGAGCACAGCCCCUAUUGCUCGAAAAUUGUGGGUGAGAUUUUCAACAUCUUUCUCAACAUUCACAACCAAUGUCACAUGUUUUUCUACCUGUUGAUGGAUGAUUGAAGCCAGUUGUUCUAGGAGAACAGAAACGAGUGCUUCAGCCAUCAGAAGUUGAAGUACUUGUGGUGGAAACAAGGGAAGAAAUUUGAAACGAGAACGAUACAAUCAGAAAGGAAACAAACUAGGGGUUGGGCUUGUGGUAUUAACAUAAUCUUCCCCAAACAGCUUUAUAGUGAUGAGGUUGAAGAAUGUUUCCAAGGCAGUGCUAGCAUAACCACUUGGUCACGGCAAUGGCGAAUCGAAGUUAUUCCUUGCUCCUUGGCCUCAAUUGUUGCUUUUCCUUAGAUUCUUUGCCUUUCAUCCUCUUCCUGUUCUAUUUGUUCUAUUACCCAAAAAAACGUUCUAUUUGUUCGAGUUUCAUUUCUGAAGGCUCAGUAGUAUUCUUUACUUCAUCCUUUUUCAUUUCUCCCUGUAUGUUUCAUUUCAGUUUGGUAUCAGACCAAUCCUCCAAAAAUCAAUGGUAUAAUUACUAGUUCUAUGAAAACUUUCUAAAAAUUCAAAGGUAACUGUGUUUACAAAUAAAACCCUAUAUUAGAGAAACAAAUCAGGGUAAGGAUUUGCAUAAAUCUCUCUGAGAAAAUGAAAUUUACACUAACAAGUUCACCCCCAAACCCCACUAUUUGUGUAGGUGAUACAAAUCGCUAAAUGAAAUGCGGCAUGUCAUUGUUGAUCAUUAAUUUGGUAAAAUGUUGAGAUACAAGUUCAACAAAUAAUAUAAUACCUAACUACAUGUUGUCCAAUUUGGUAAGGGUAAAAAGCAGAAUAGAUGACUGCAAGGCUCGUUCAAGACCAUUCCUGAAGGGAGUCUGAGAAGAAGAAAAGUAUCUAGUGCUUAUAUUGUAGUUGACUGAUACCGGACUAGAGGUUAUCUCUCAGCCAUUUUAAAGCACCAUUUGCAACAGACCUGAAAAUUCCAACAUCUUUAAGGGUCAACUGCACUGAAUAGCAAAGAUAAAAAACAAAAAUGGUAUCCAACCAAUGACAUAGUACCGUUCGUGAAAACGAUAUAGCAUCACAACGCACAAGAGCUUGCUAUUCAAUCAAAGGCUACCGUCUAUGCAUGUGUAUGUAUAUCCCAAUUUUCUAACAUAAGUACAUAACAGCUCUAGGAAAUUGGUAAGCAACGGAUUUUUUUCCUUUGAUUAGAGUUACAGUUUACACUUGGUAAUUGACGACUAUACUAAGUAGGGAGUAUAUGACAGAUGACAGAGAUGAGUGAGCUUACCCCGCAAAGUCUUUUAACUUCUUCCAUGGGUCACUCGAAUCUUCUUCUUCCACUGUUUCAUCUGCAACAGUUCCCACCUCAGUUUGAGUCUUUGCUGCAGAAUGAAGAGAAGAAUUCAAGUCAGAUAAAUUUAUAUACCUAAUCUGAAAGAAAAGUUCUGCCAUGCAUAUCAUCUAUAUCCACUCACCCUGAGUUUCAAAAUUUAUAUAUGUUUACCAAGGGAUUUGAAAUCUCUCAGGAUGAGUGCUCAUAUAUGCACAAACAAAGAGCACAUCCUCAUACGGUAAAAGUGAGCACUUACCAACUGGCUGAGUCUUGGGUCGAGUACGUGAACGGCUGGCGGUAGUAUUACUGAGUAAAGCAAGUUCUUCAAGCAAUUCACGUUCCUUGACACUACAUGAAAAGAAAAUCUGGGGUUAAAUUCCACUAGUGGUGUCCAUUGUUUACAGCUUACAACAUUACCAGGUUUAACCGCAUAUAUCUUUCCUCCCUCUACUCCCCUCUCCCCGAUUUCAGUACAUAUUUUUUAUUUUCUGCACAGCACAACCAAGUAUGCAGGUGAACAGACCCCUCUGCCUUUCAACAGUUUUAUUCUCUCUUUAAUUGUCCUUUUGUUUCUGAGGUUUAAGUAUCGUUUGGACUUUGGAAGCUACUUCCAUAUAUUCUGUACAGAUCAAAGUCUCGACAAAGUAGUUCUGUUUAAUUGAAAUCUAUCUUUCUAGCAUGUUAGUGUCUUCUACUGUCAUAAGGAUGUUCUACUGUUCUAUCACAAGCACAGCUUAUAUGGUUCUACAGAACAUACGCCAAAAAAAUACUUGAAACACGUUAUAGACUAACAGUGAACUGAACUAGGAAAAGGAUAGGGGAAGGGAAAUGAAGAAGUGACACUUCAGCUACGUACCCUAUACAAAAUAGAGGGAACUGUUACCUGAUACGAUUCGGUAUGGCUACUUUUAUUGUAAACACAUGGUCACCACGAAUAGAUGGCUUGUUUAUCUUUGGUACUCCUUUUUUGGCCAGGACUAGAAUAUCACCUGGUUGGGUACCCGGUGGAAUUUGUAGUGUUGUUAAUCCUUCAACUGUUUUAACCUGUUACUCAUGCCAGAACCUCCAUCAGUGGUCAUGCCAGAUACACGCGUGAGGAAAAGGCAGUAAAGAGAACAUGUACCAAAACAAACAUGGUAAUCACUACACAUCCAUACAAUCAAGUUAGUCCAGUAAAAGAAUUUCGAUUCUGAAAGCUCAGACAGAUACAAUAAACUAUUUGGUCCGGAAAGUGCAGAAGCACAAUAAGCAUGUGACAUAGUGAAAGGAGCAAUCACUGUGUGAGCAAGAAGCAUCAUGAACAAGAUUACCAGAACGUUGUUGCAGAUAAUUUUAAACUAUCCAAAACAAAAUAACAUAAAGAUAACUUUGAUGAUGGAUAUAAUCUGAACUAAAAUCUGAGCAUGAAUAAUCCAAUCAAAACUUUACCUGAACAACAGUUCCCAAUAUGGCGUCCAGAUAGCUUAUGGAUACUGUUGAAGAGAGAUUAAUCCCAUCUCUUCGAAUUCCUUCUAUUUCUUCAACAUCAAGAUAUACAUAAAGAUCCCCGGGAGGGCCCCUGAUGGAAAAUCAAAAUCAACACUUGAUUCUAAACCGUGCUAUAUAUGACACAAAUGACGAAAUUAUAGGUACAGAAUCACAGGAUAUAUUUACUGAUUCUCUCAGGAAUAAGAAAAAAACUACUAACUAUUCCCCCCGAGGAUUGAAAGCAAUAUUAUGAGUACUGGAAUAAGGCAACUUUAGUAACAUAACAAAUUUGAAUAAGACACAUUUAAUAAAAUAUGAAAAUUGACACCUAGAUGCAAUCGUCAAAAAGCACAGAUACAUAUAUCCAUAUAACAUAAAUAUUCUAAGAGAACAAGGGGAGCAGGAAAAAGAUAUAGAGAAAUAAUCUAAAGAAACAAGAUGAAGAAGUCUCUAAUCAACUUCACAUGAUUUUUUUUCUUUUUCUUUUUUGGAUUAAUAAUCAGUAUUAAACUUUAUAGAUGACUGAAGUUAUCCAGCAUGCUCGUUGAAUAAGAAGUUAAUGCAAUAUUCACUCAAUGAUCAAUAAGAAGUUAAUCCAUAUUACGGAACCAAAGAAUUUUAUGUUAAGGGAUGUCUUUGUAAAUACCAAAGUUUAAAAUAUGGGUGGUGAUUAGACAUAACAGCACUGAAAUGUCAGGAUACAGCAACAGACAUUAGUUUCAGAGCUUGAUAUCACAAGAACAUGUAGCCUAUAAUGGAAAUAUCAUAGCUUAAACACCAGUAACAUGGAAGUUUGUUCAAUGAUCUAUCCAAACAAAACGUAAAUUCAAACACCUACCCUCUCGGUCCAGCAUCUCCCUCUCCAGCAACUCUGAGAAUACUUCCCUUGCUAACACCAGGAGGAACACACACACACACACACACACACACACACACACACACACACACACACACACACACACACACACACACACACACCUAUCCAGAACAAAGCUUCGCUCUGAAAUUAAAGUGUGAAGUUCCUUAUUUGACUCACUUUUUCGUCAUAUUUCCUCAUCUCUACCGUUUAGUUUCUAGAACCUUAUGCAUAGAUCAUUUCUGCAAAGUUUCAUCUAAUUUGAUGAUCGUUUGAGUUUUUAUAAUCGUUAUUUACACAAAUAGUUGUGGUUAGAUAAAUUUAUGGUCUGUUCAUUGAUUUGAUCUAAUUCAGUACCCAAAUAAUCAUCAAUCUUGAUGAAAUGUUGUAGGAAUGAUCUAUACAUUAGUAUCAAUAAUCUGAACGAUGGAGAUAUGAAAAUAUGACGAAAAAUUGAGUAAAAUAAGGAACUUCACACUUUAAUUUCAGAGCGCAACUGUAUAUUUAAUUUCAGAACGCAACUGUAUAUAUAUACUCAAAACCAACGGUUGAGAUCAAAUGGUGCUUAUUAUAUGGUCUAGAUCGCAUGCUGAGUUUUCUUUCACUUAAACCAAAUUCCUUUAUUUCCGAAAUACGAAAUAAAUGGUUCACAUGUCCGAAAAUGUUCAUGAGAAUUACCACGGACACAUCACAAAACGUACUUCAUUAUCUCUAAACAUAAAUAUUUCUUUUUUAAUAUAUCUGAAAAACUUUCCGACUUUCCGAUACACUUCACGAGAUAACAGUUUUAAAUGUCAAACUAUCCAACUUUAGCUCUUUAAAUAUUUACGGGGUCUCACAGGAUCGCCUUGCCUAAUACCACCGGAAAGGAAGGGAAGUUACCAACAAAAUAAUGUAAGUGAUCCUUGACAUGAGGCCAAAUCAUUUGAUAAUGUUUAGCAUUAAUGCCAUCAGGGCCAGAGCCUUUAAAGGACUAAUGUCUUUAACAGCUUGAAAAAUCUCCAUCAUAGUUACAGGUGCAAUAAGAGACUGAUUAUCAGCAUCAAUAAUGCAAGUAGGGAUUACCCCAGUGAAAUGAUUUAGAGCAGUAUGGGAAAUAGUAGAAACAUUAGUAAAACGUUUGGAAAAAGAACUGACCAAAAUGUGAACAAAAUGGUUUUGAUCAGCAGUCCAAAACCUAGAUUCAUCUUUUAAACGAAGAAUCUGGUUUCGUUUAUGUCGAAUAGUAGCAUGCAUUUGGUAGAACUUAUUAGAAUUGAAAUUUGUUUAGUCCUUGUGGUUUGAAGUCGACAUCUGUUCAGUCCUUGUGGUUUUAUUUUAAUCUGAAUGGUCCUUAAAAUCAUGAUUUUUCAUCUAAAUGAUCUUUCCAUCAAUUUUUUCUGUUAGAAUAUUUUCGUGGCCGUUAAAGACAUUGUAAUUUUUAACGGCCACGUCAGCAAUUUAACUGAGAAAAUUGACAGAAUGACCAUUUAGAUGAAAAAUCGUUACUUUAAAGAUCAUUCAGAUUAAAAUAAAACAACAAUGACUGAAGAAAUGUCGACUUCAAACUAUAAGAACUAUACAAUAUUUUACCCAACUUAUUAUUUUUGUCCCCAAGUUGUAGCCGUUUGGCUUUGGCUCUUUGAGCCCAAAAUAGUUCCUCCUGUUUACCAAGUGCUUCAAGUUUUAUAGUAAGUUGACAAACUUGAAGUUGUUGUGUAUGAGACAAUGAAGGUAGUGAAGCAAAAUAUUGAAAGUGGGUAUGAAUGGUAGCCAUUUUAUGGAAAAGAUUACCAAAAUCUGUUUUGUUCAAAUUUCGAGUAGUAUAUUGAAACGCCUGGAUUUUGGCAAUUACAUUCUCACAAGGAUUUCCAGAAAUGGGAGUAUCCCAUGUGUUCUGAACCAAAGUUGGAAAAUCUUGAUGAGAUAACCAGAUAGUCUCUAGUCUAUAAGGCCUUUGAAGGCUAUGCAAUUUACGAAACAAGGACAGCAAAAUAGGACCAUGAUCAGAACCAUAUAUGGGUAAAUUAACCAAAGACGUAUGAGGAAAAGAACAAUAAGCAUAAGUAUUAGCUACAGCACGAUCUAAUCGUUCACACAUUUUUUUUUUCAUGCCCCCCUCAAUAAGAUGAAGAAUAUUAUUGAAAUCACCCAACAUAAUAACUCCAAUCCCAGGAGCGGCUUUUCAAAAUGUUGUUUUGGGCAGCAAAACUGACUUUAUUUUGGUUUUAUUGUUUUAGGCAGCAAAAUCUUGGGCAGCAAACUCCAUCCUAAAAUCUUGGUUUUGCUGCCCAAAACAAAGAUGGUUUUAUUGCUGCCCGAAAAAACAUCUUGAAAAAUAUUAUUGUUUUGGUUGCGCUAGCGCUUUUCAAGACUGAUUUUUUUUUUUUGAAAAGAUGAUUUUCUUAGACAAAAUGUUAUUUCAAAUUUAUUAUCGAUGAUAUUGAUUUCAGUGUCAAAUGUCAAACAAACCUAGACUUUGGUCCGAAUCCAUCUUAUUUCUAAAAAUAAAAGUUCCCGUUCUUGAUAUUUAGUAACUCUCAAAUGGCUUCCUCCAAAUCCUAUGAAUAUGAGAGGCUCUUCUUUAUUUUCUAACAAUAGGUCAUGUAAACCCAACCACGGGCUCCGCCCUUUCUUUGCUCCCUAGAGCACUAUAAAUCUGAUUCUCUUUCCAUCCAUCUUCGUCCCUUCCAUUACAUCUUCAUUAGCACAUCUUCCACAUUCCUUCCAAAGCAAAGUUACAACACACAAAAACAUAAAGAUGGCACGCCGCGAGAUGAUCGUUCUUGCUCUCCUCUUCAUUGCUAUUGCUGGGGUUGCAGCUGAGAAAGCAGCAGGCAAGCAUGAAGGGCAUCAUGACAAGGGACAUGCAGGCGCACCCAAGCCAAGCCAUGACAAGGGAUCCCAUGACAAGAAGCAUAAGCACAUGGAACCAACUAUCAAGUUAGCUAAACCCACCAAACCUGCUACUAAAGGACCAGGCGCCGCCGCUACCAAACCAGGCGCCACCGCUACCAAAGGACCAGGCACUACCGCUACCAAACCAGGCGUCAAAACUGGAAAACCUUUAACCAGGGAGGGACCAGCUAAGCCUGGCAAGAAAGGACACUAAGUAAUCUUCUAGCAACUCCCUUUUUUUCCAAAGCCUGGCUCCUUCUUUCUUUUUAAGAGCAUCAUAUCUGAGAUUCGGAGGGAUGGUAGGCUUUAAACUAUAGAAAUUUACUACAGAUUUGGCUCACCUAGUUAGCAUUACGAACAAAUAAACAUGGGUCUCAUUGCAGACCUCACACGUACAUGUAAAUGUUCAUUUUGCAAUACAAUAAAUUGUCAUAUUGAUCAAUCUUUUUUUUUCUGAUUGAGCAUAUUGUAAAUGUAGUACAGUGCGGUAUGCCAUGCAUGCAUCCCCUAAUAGGAGUUGUGUGCACGUGCUUUGCAGGUGGGGGUGAGUGUUUUGUUUUGAAAUUUUUGGCCUUGAAAGCAGGCUGCAUGCAGCGUUGUUGGUUCAAACCUCAAACUCGUCUAAAAUCAGUAAAAUGUACAUGUUUUUCAAUUGGUUUCACUGUAUUGUUCUACUUAUAAUGCGGUAAGCUUUAUUCUAGAUUCCAACAAUCAACUGUUCACAUUUGCGAUACCAACAAAAUAAAAUAAACCAUGAAUAAAUAAGUAAACUUUCAUCUGCAUAUUUUUGGAUUUACACAGGUUGGAUCAGCCUGCAGCCUGCUAUUAAUGUUUCUACUCACUUUUUACUGGCAAAAUGUUCACCCCCAUUGACAACUCUGUCGCCCCUCCAGAAAAUGAAGCACAUAUAAACUACAAAUCUACAAUCAUCCUCAAUUCCUCAUAUCACUUGGACUUGUAUUAUAGUUGUAUCCCAAAAGUAAAUUCUUCCUUCAAUUUAAGGGAAAAGGUAACAAGGGAAUUCUUGUUCUUUUGAAAUGUAACACAA